GACGAACGCUGGCGGCGUGCCUAAUACAUGCGAGUCGAGCGGACGGAUGGGAGCUUGCUCCCAGACCGUCAGCGGCGGACGGGUGAGUAACACGUGGGCAACCUGCCUGUAAGACUGGGAUAACUCCGGGAAACCGGGGCUAAUACCGGAUAACUCUUUCCCUCACAUGAGGGAAAGCUGAAAGAUGGCAUCUCGCUAUCACUUACAGAUGGGCCCGCGGCGCAUUAGCUAGUUGGUGAGGUAACGGCUCACCAAGGCGACGAUGCGUAGCCGACCUGAGAGGGUGAUCGGCUACACUGGGACUGAGACACGGCCCAGACUCCUACGGGAGGCAGCAGUAGGGAAUCUUCCGCAAUGGACGAAAGUCUGACGGAGCAACGCCGCGUGAGUGAUGAAGGUUUUCGGAUCGUAAAACUCUGUUGUCAGGGAAGAACAAGUACCGGAGUAACUGCCGGUACCUUGACGGUACCUGACCAGAAAGCCACGGCUAACUACGUG
Molecule: ribosomal RNA, 498 nt
Filed under: uncultured bacterium
Lineage: Bacteria
Description: partial 16S ribosomal RNA
Rfam family: Bacterial small subunit ribosomal RNA
Source: RNAcentral